Molecule: ribosomal RNA, 638 nt
Filed under: uncultured bacterium
Lineage: Bacteria
Description: bacterial SSU rRNA
Rfam family: Bacterial small subunit ribosomal RNA
Source: RNAcentral
GCUCAACCCCGGACUUGCAGUGGGUACGGGCAGACUAGAGUGUGGUAGGGGAGACUGGAAUUCCUGGUGUAGCGGUGAAAUGCGCAGAUAUCAGGAGGAACACCGAUGGCGAAGGCAGGUCUCUGGGCCACUACUGACGCUGAGAAGCGAAAGCAUGGGGAGCGAACAGGAUUAGAUACCCUGGUAGUCCAUGCCGUAAACGUUGGGCGCUAGGUGUGGGACUCAUUCCACGAGUUCCGUGCCGCAGCUAACGCAUUAAGCGCCCCGCCUGGGGAGUACGGCCGCAAGGCUAAAACUCAAAGGAAUUGACGGGGGCCCGCGCAAGCGGCGGAGCAUGCGGAUUAAUUCGAUGCAACGCGAAGAACCUUACCAAGGCUUGACAUAUACCGGAAACAUCCAGAGAUGGGUGCCCCUUUUUGGUCGGUAUACAGGUGGUGCAUGGUUGUCGUCAGCUCGUGUCGUGAGAUGUUGGGUUAAGUCCCGCAACGAGCGCAACCCUCGUUCUAUGUUGCCAGCACGUAAUGGUGGGGACUCAUGGAAGACUGCCGGGGUCAACUCGGAGGAAGGUGGGGAUGACGUCAAAUCAUCAUGCCCCUUAUGUCUUGGGCUUCACGCAUGCUACAAUGGCCGGUACAAUG